Molecule: microRNA precursor, 69 nt
Filed under: Strigamia maritima
Lineage: Eukaryota; Metazoa; Arthropoda; Chilopoda; Geophilomorpha; Linotaeniidae
Description: mir-2 microRNA precursor
Rfam family: mir-2 microRNA precursor family
About the family: The miRNAs are transcribed as ~70nt precursors (modelled here) and subsequently processed by the Dicer enzyme to give a ~22nt product. In this case the mature sequence comes from the 3' arm of the precursor.
Source: Rfam by way of RNAcentral
UUAGCCAUCAAAGAGGCUGUGAAAUGUGUACUACUAGAAACAUAUCACAGCCAUUUUUGAUGAGCUGAA